Molecule: long non-coding RNA, 1146 nt
Filed under: Olea europaea subsp. europaea
Lineage: Eukaryota; Viridiplantae; Streptophyta; Magnoliopsida; Lamiales; Oleaceae
Source: RNAcentral
CAUAAACUCUCCUUACUUUUGCCUUCGCCACUUAUCUUCUUCAUCAUCCUAUUUUCAGUUCUGUCCAUGUUUUCUCUUCUACCUUUUCUGUGUGGUUCUGACAAAUCUAUGAGAAACAAUGAAGGGAGAAGAAGAAGAAGAAGUGUGAGACUGGGAGAGAAAAAUAAGGCAGUAAAAAGAAUAAAAAGUGGUUUAAGCAGUAAAGCUCUUUUGAUGGCUAAGAUGGUUUCUUGGAGAAAAGAGCAGGUUGAAGGAGAAGGCCAAGAGGAUAUUGAUUUCGGAGAUGGCGAUGAAGACGAUGUUGUUUGGAAGAGAACGAUUAUUAGAGGCGAGAAGUGCCGUCCUUUGGAUUUUUCGGGGAAAAUUUUGUAUGAUUCUAACGGAAAUCUUCUGCCAGAUUCACCUCAUCAUUCAAGUUAAGGUGAUGAACACAAUCGAUGAUUUCCUUGUUGAUUAAUGUAAGUUUCUCUUCUUAUUUUGUGUGUUUGUUUUGAGUUUUGACAAUAAUAAAGAUAUCAAAAACAGAAAAACUGUAAAAAGAUGAACAGCGUUGUCUAAAAAUCACAAAGACAACAAGAUUUUAAUUAGUACACACUGAUAUGGAUAGUCGAUAAUGAAAGAAGUCAGAAGACACUAAUCCGUGAAGACAAGAUGAUCUAGUGGUCGAGGAAGGAGGAGUUGAAGUCUAUUAGAGUAAGGCCAACCCUCAUCGAAGUUUCAACCAAUUAAAAAAAAAAGGUUCGACACCACUUUGUACACAAGAUUGUUAUGAUUCAAUUGAACUUUCGAGAUCUAUAUCGAUUCCACCUAUAUGAAAAUGUUCCCUUCUUGUCCCCUCAAAUAAUCAGUUCUCUGAUGCUGUUCUUUCUGUUUAUCCUUUCUUAAUGAAUUCAACUAUGUAUUAUGGUUAAAAAUUAUAGAAUUUACUCGAUUAAUGAGGCGUACGUACAAUUAUAUAUAAACAAAAACUACUUAUUUUUUAAUAUUGUUAAAACGCCAAAAUAUGCAACAUCACAUCAAUAGAAUAAAUGGAAAACGAGUAAACUUGGAAUAAGAUCAUACAGCCAAGACUUUGUGGCAUUAAUUUGGAACAAUGACGCCAAAAAUUUUAUAAUUGUAUUUUGAUGGAGAAUGUAUGAUUAAAAA